GGUACCUCAGCUGGAAAUGCAGAAAUCACCCGUCUUCUGCGUCGCUCACGCUGGGAGCUGUAGACUGGAGCUGUAGACAGGAGCUGUUCCUAUUCGGGCAUCUUGGCUCCUCCUUGACAAGCUUGAAGGUGAGCACCUCGAAGGGCUUCUUUUUAUGUUGAAAGGCACGGGUUUGCAUGGCGGUUCAUCAGAGGUCAAUACCCCAGUUUGAGAAAGUCCACUGUGGGGAGGAAAGAGAGACUUAAACAAGCCCUGGAAAAACAAAGAAUGGAACACCCCUCCGCUGACUUCAACCAACUGCCUGCUGAUGCGGCCUGACUCCCAGCCCUUUUUGCAGUUUUGAAGUGACAAACUGACUAGGCUACAAAGUAUUCAACCAUGGGCUGGUUCUGGCUGGUUCACCGAGGCUGUGUACAAAGUGUCUUCAUGUCCUGUGUUUCACCUUUUAACAUACAGAACCUAAUUUUACUGCAUUUUAAUGUUAAUUCUCCACUCGAAGGUGAACAUGGGAUGUA
This 515-nucleotide long non-coding RNA is filed under the name Homo sapiens (human). Its description in RNAcentral is "non-protein coding lnc-ZNF599-3:6". Lineage: Eukaryota; Metazoa; Chordata; Mammalia; Primates; Hominidae. The record is from RNAcentral.